GAAGACCACUAGGGGAGCCAUUACUGGCUGAGACAGAGUUGAUCUGGACCCUUUGAACCUGAUCUAGUUCAUACUAGCGUAGGAAAGUGGAGUUCGUGCAAG
RNAcentral lists this non-coding RNA (102 nucleotides) under Bacillus sp. (in: firmicutes). RNAcentral describes it as "Bacillus sp. TPP sequence". It matches the Rfam family "TPP riboswitch aptamer (THI element)". From Rfam's summary of the family: Vitamin B(1) in its active form thiamin pyrophosphate (TPP) is an essential coenzyme that is synthesised by coupling of pyrimidine and thiazole moieties in bacteria. The previously detected thiamin-regulatory element, thi box was extended, resulting in a new, highly conserved RNA secondary structure, the THI element, which is widely distributed in eubacteria and also occurs in some archaea. The record is from RNAcentral. RNAcentral also lists the same sequence under 1 other name. Lineage: Bacteria; Bacillati; Bacillota; Bacilli; Caryophanales; Bacillaceae.